This 83-nucleotide transfer RNA is filed under the name Phlebiopsis gigantea 11061_1 CR5-6. It matches the Rfam family "tRNA". Rfam says of the family: Transfer RNA (tRNA) molecules are approximately 80 nucleotides in length. Their secondary structure includes four short double-helical elements and three loops (D, anti-codon, and T loops). Further hydrogen bonds mediate the characteristic L-shaped molecular structure. tRNAs have two regions of fundamental functional importance: the anti-codon, which is responsible for specific mRNA codon recognition, and the 3' end, to which the tRNAs corresponding amino acid is attached (by aminoacyl-tRNA synthetases). tRNAs cope with the degeneracy of the genetic code in two manners: having more than one tRNA (with a specific anti-codon) for a particular amino acid; and 'wobble' base-pairing, i.e. permitting non-standard base-pairing at the 3rd anti-codon position. The record is from Rfam by way of RNAcentral. Lineage: Eukaryota; Fungi; Basidiomycota; Agaricomycetes; Polyporales; Phanerochaetaceae.
GUCCUUGUCGAUUAGUGGUUAGAUCAUCACGUUGUGGUUCACGCAAAUCCGUGAAGACGGAGGCUCGAAUCCUCCCUGGGACA